AUUGAACGCUGGCGGCAGGCCUAACACAUGCAAGUCGAGCGAGCGGCGGACGGGGGGGUAAUGUCUGGGAAACUGCCUGAUGGAGGGGGGUAACUACUGGAAACGGUAGCUAAUACCGCAUACCAUCGGAUGUGCCCAAAUGGGAUUAGCUGGUAGGUGGGGUAAUGGCUCACCAAGGCGACGAUCCCUAGCCGGUCUGAGAGGAUGACCAGCCACACUGGAACUGAGACACGGUCCAGACUCCUACGGGAGGCAGCAGUGGGGAAUAUUGCACAAUGGGCGCAAGCCUGAUGCAGCCAUGCCGCGUGUGUGAAGAAGGCCUUCGGGUUGUAAAGCACUUUUAGCGGGGAGGCGUUACCCGCAGAAGAAGCACCGGCUAACUCCGUGCCAGCAGCCGCGGUAAUUC
Molecule: ribosomal RNA, 406 nt
Filed under: uncultured bacterium
Lineage: Bacteria
Description: partial 16S ribosomal RNA
Rfam family: Bacterial small subunit ribosomal RNA
Source: RNAcentral